This 253-nucleotide ribosomal RNA is filed under the name uncultured bacterium. RNAcentral describes it as "partial 16S ribosomal RNA". It matches the Rfam family "Bacterial small subunit ribosomal RNA", at positions 524 to 776 of the family's 1533-position model. The record is from RNAcentral.
UACGAGGGGGGCAAGCGUUGUUCGGAAUUACUGGGCGUAAAGCGUGCGCAGGCGGCUUGCCAAGUCAGAUGUGAAAGCCCCGGGCUCAACCCGGGAACUGCGUUUGAAACUGGCAGGCUAGAGUUUGGCAGAGGGGGGUGGAAUUCCACGUGUAGCAGUGAAAUGCGUAGAGAUGUGGAGGAACACCGAUGGCGAAGGCAGCCCCCUGGGCCAAAACUGACGCUCAGGCACGAAAGCGUGGGGAGCAAACAGG